UACAGAGGGUGCAAGCGUUAAUCGGAAUUACUGGGCGUAAAGCGUGUGUAGGUGGUUGCGUAAGUUAGAUGUGAAAUCCCCGGGCUCAACCUGGGAAUUGCGUUUAAAACUGCGUAGCUAGAGUAUUGUAGAGGAUAGUGGAAUUUCCAGUGUAGCGGUGAAAUGCGUAGAUAUUGGAAGGAACACCAGUGGCGAAGGCGACUAUCUGGGCAAAUACUGACACUGAGACACGAGAGCAUGGGGAGCAAACAG
RNAcentral lists this ribosomal RNA (252 nucleotides) under uncultured bacterium. RNAcentral's name for it is "partial 16S ribosomal RNA". It matches the Rfam family "Bacterial small subunit ribosomal RNA", at positions 524 to 775 of the family's 1533-position model. The record is from RNAcentral.